CAGCCGCCGCGGUAAUACCGGCGGCCCGAGUGGCGGUCACUAUUAUUUGGCUUAAAGCGUCCGUAGCCGGGUUGGGAAGUCCUCCGGGAAAUCUGGCCGCUUAACGGUCAGAAUGCCGGAGGAUACUCCCAGCCUAGGGAGCGGGAGAGGCCGAGGGUAUUCCCGGAGUAGGGGUGAAAUCCUAUAAUCCCGGGAGGACCACCUGUGGCGAAGGCGCUCGGCUGGAACGCGCCCGACGGUGAGGGACGAAGGCCAGGGGAGCAAACCGGAUUAGAUACCCGGGUAGUCCUGGCUGUAAACGAUGCGGACUAGGUGUCGGGCAAGCUAAGGGCUUGUCCGGUGCCGCAGGGAAGCCGUUAAGUCCGCCGCCUGGGGAGUACGGCCGCAAGGCUGAAAUUUAAAGGAAUUGGCGGG
This 414-nucleotide ribosomal RNA is filed under the name uncultured microorganism. Its description in RNAcentral is "bacterial SSU rRNA". It matches the Rfam family "Archaeal small subunit ribosomal RNA", at positions 459 to 872 of the family's 1478-position model. The record is from RNAcentral.